RNAcentral lists this ribosomal RNA (305 nucleotides) under uncultured bacterium. RNAcentral describes it as "bacterial SSU rRNA". It matches the Rfam family "Bacterial small subunit ribosomal RNA", at positions 338 to 657 of the family's 1533-position model. The record is from RNAcentral.
CCUACGGGGCGCAGCAGUGGGGAAUAUUGGGCAAUGGGCGCAAGCCUUACCCAGCAACGCCGCGUGAAGGAAGAAGGCUUUCGGGUUGUAAACUUCUUUUAUCAGGGACGAAACAAAUGACGGUACCUGAUGAAUAAGCCACGGCUAACUACGUGCCAGCAGCCGCGGUAAUACGUAGGUGGCAAGCGUUAUCCGGAUUUACUGGGUGUAAAGGGCGUGUAAGCGGGACUGCAAGUCAGAUGUGAAACCCAUGGGCUCAACCCAUGGCCUGCAUUUGAAACUGUAGUUCUUGAGCGAUGGAGAGG